Long non-coding RNA from Labeo rohita (rohu), 2973 nucleotides. RefSeq lists it as uncharacterized. The record is from RefSeq and is a predicted model, not a curated record. The transcript is spliced from 3 exons. Lineage: Eukaryota; Metazoa; Chordata; Actinopteri; Cypriniformes; Cyprinidae.
GAUAAAAAUGCGAAAUAACCACCAUAACAGUGUAGAAUAUUGAAGAGAUAGUUAACCCAAAAAUGAAAAUUCUGUCAUUAAUUACUCCAAGCCCAUAAGACCUUCGUUCAUCUUCAGAAGACAAAUUAAGAUAUUUUUGAUGAAAUCCGAAAGCUUUCUAAUCCUGCAUAGAUAGCAACGUAACUGAAAUGUUCCCAGGCCCAGAAACGUAGUAAGGACAUCUGUAAAACAGUUCAUGUGACAUCAGUGGUUUAAUCGUAAUUUAACAAAGCUAUGUGAAUACUUUUUGUGCACAAAGAAAACAAAAAUGACUUUAUUCAACAGUUCUUCUCCUACAGGUCACGUCUUGCACCAUUACCAAGUUGAGCAAAGGUCUUACAGGUUUGGAACAACAUGAGGGUAAUUAAUGUAAUUAUUGACAGAAUUUUCAUUUUUAGGUGAACUAUCCCUUUAAGAUUUGACACAUUUUAAAAAAAAGGUAAUAGGCAGUUUACGGUAGAAUUACAUUACAUAAUCUCCGAACAUAGACGCUCCCCAGCCAGCUUCGUUUUGGAAACUUGUUUUGGAGCAAGUGAAGUCUUUCUUUUUUUAUAGAUCCAGGGAUCUGUUUACUCAGGCUGUCGCCCGUCUAUCUGCCUGUAUUUCUGUGCGAUUCUGUUCUAGCUUUUGGAAGUCAUUGGAGGCGCGGGCCUCUUUGUUGUUUUGAACUCAAAGGACCCUCCUGAGUCUGCAGGCCUGGGAAACAGAUCCGGUCCCACACACAAAGGAAACUUUGAUUCAGGGGUUUGGAUGGUCAUGUGACAGGUCAGGUGUUGGAGUAUGAAGUAUGAAUGUUUGGGACAGCAAACAGCACCCCAUCUCUAUCAAAAGGCCAAGGACAAGAUAUCUCUAAUAUGGCUGCACAAGUGCAAACCCUCUUUAUGGAUUUCUUUGGAGAUUGGAAGACAAGUGCACCCAGAUGGAAGUUAGAAUCCAUUAUGGCAGCGCUCAUCGGUUAAUCAGGAAAAAGGAGGAUAGAGAGAAUACAUUUUUUACAGGUUUGUAAAUCUUAAUAUUUUAAUUAAAUGCAUGAUUGAAUGCCUGUUUUCUGAUUUUGAGGUGGAAUGGUGUUUGUAAGAGUUUGUGGCUUGGAAAAGGUCACUUAUAUUUCUGAAGGGAGUUCAGGACAAACCUAUCAUGCAGUUUAAUAAACCCCAGGCCUUUGAGAACCACAGUGCUCAAUUCCUGGACUGCGUUUACCUUGCCGAUAUUCCAGACAUCAAUAACAUUCUUACAGGGGACAUGAUAAAAAGCAACAAUAUUGAUGGAUUCUCUCUUGUUGUAAAAUGACUACUGCCAGAGUGACUGGAGCAGUAUUAAAUAAUGCAUGCUCUCAUUCUCUCUCUCUCUCUUUUUUCUUUCUCUUUCUCUCUUUAAUAAUAGUUGUGACUAAAAGUCACACACAGAAGGUCAAUAAUGACUCUGAGUUGGAUUGCGUUUGCUCUCAUCUGAGAUGCGUUUGGCACCUUUGAUCUUUGCAGAUGACCUUAGUGGACCGAAAAACAAUUAUCUCAGCUGAAUCUGUCUCUCGGUGCAUGAAAUGGCUGCUUGAUAUUGGCUGCGAGAGGGACAGAGGCACAUGAAACACUUGUAUGUUUCUUUAAAGAAGCCUUUUUUAGAAAACUUUUGAUAUUUUUAAUGAUGCCCAUGAAAAAUACAGUUGCUUAUUGUAAAGUAGAAGUGAAAACGACAGUAAAAGCAAGCACCACUAUUAAAAUUUUCCAUCAUCCAUCUCUUAUGUAAGUUUUUUUCUAUACAUACUGUUGCUUUUUUGCUAAGACAGGCCACACUUCAGUGCCCCACCAUCUGUUUGUUAUAUAUGUGUAAAUAAAUAAAUUUGUAUUCAUUAAUAUGGAUAGGAUGAAUCUCACGCCUCACCUGCUGCAUUGUCUCAGAGGCUGCAGCUCGUCCCACAUGCUUUCCUCUGAUAAGAUCUGAUCUGUUAUCUGAAAUAUUAUUUACCUGCUUGAGUGAACCUAACAGACACAAACAAAAUCCAUCAUUAUUUUUGAUGGUGUUUCAAUUUUUCACCAUCAUGAUAGUCUGCCAGGCAAAAAUUGCAAGUUCAAUCAGUUCAAACAGUAACAGUACACCUCUCUUCAACAACAUAAAAGCAAUAAACAAGCAAUCGCAAUAUUCAUUGUAUGAAAGAUGACAAAUUAUGACUGUCAGUUGUGGCUUAAUUUACAUAAAUGUUAGUAUACUUGGUUGCCAAGGUGACAAGUGUGAGUAAAGAGCCUGCUCUUACGAUACGAUUGGAAGACAAUGUGCAAUUAAAAGGUAUCACAGCAUUGUUAAAUUUUAUAAUUUUUUAAUGUUUUUAUUUUAGUCAAAUUGUUCAAUUUUUUUUUAACAUUUAUGUAAUUAUUUAUUUAUGUAUUUAUUUAAUUUUUUAAUAAUUUUUUAGCAGAUAUAUUUGUGGCAUUUAAUAUGGUUCAGAGGACAGUCUAGCCGAGAGCAGAAUAAAACAUUGAGCUGACGGGAAUCUUAAUGAAGACUAACUCAUGUCAUCUAGUGCCCUUGAUCAAGGUGACUUCAAGCGUAGCCUCUCUCAGGCUCUCAUCACAGUCCUCAGAGGUUUAUAAGCCUUGCUCAGUAUAAAGUGUUGCAGUCUUGUGUUAAUGAAUGUCAUCUCUUCUUUCACCUCGUACCUUUCUAAACAGCUCUUGGUACUGCAUGUUCAGCCAUUCACAUGCUGUGUGAUGUUUCUUUCAGCAGAUCUGAAUGCUGCCAGUUUCAGGCUAUAUUUAUGACUGACGCACUUGUUUGGACAGAUGUGUUGUUUGCUGCUGUCUGAGGAGACUAUAUUAGACUAAAAGGUGCUUGUGCUUUAUUAGCCUUAUUAGGAUUGAUUGAUUCUGUCAGGAUUAGAGGCUAGAGGACAGAGGGGUGAGCCGAGAGACACAGACUCUUGCUGCUUUUUACUAAUCUCCA